CACUGUAAAAAAACCUUGGCUUCUUCCCUUCUUCCUUCUCACAAGAUAGCCUCAUUGCCACCGCCGGCCCUCAAGCUCGCCGUCCGGCAACAUCCUGCUGAAGCCGACGUGGUGGUUCAAAUCCACAUGUCCAUUAUGCCGGAAACCCUAUUAUCAGGAUAAGUUUGGUUCUUGGGGUUGGUUUUCAUCCGAGAUUGAGAGGGGUUUUACUACAAUAACUUUGUUUCUCUUCGGAAAUGGGUUUUUGAAGUUUGGGUUUCUUUGGAUUAUCUCACCAUAAUUUUGUAUUUGAUGAUGAUUCUCAGGUUCUCAGGUUCUCAGUAUUUGAUGAUGAGAAAGCCUAUUUUCAGGCGCCCGAUUGCUUGAGGAUCUCAGGGGCUUCGAGAAUUAUUGGUGUUGAUGUGAACCUGAGAAGAUUCAAUCAAGGUCUGUGAGAAUUAUGAUGUUCUUGAUUGAAGUUUGACUCGGUUUAUUUGGUUUGAAUGUGGGGGCAACUGAAAUUCUAUUUCUUCGUUAUGCUCUCUGAAUUAUCUAGUGUUUUCAUUUAUUAUGUUAAAACUCAUCCUUUUAUUUGGAUUUUAUUUAAGUUCAUUUAAAAUUUCCUGGUUAUUUGAA
This is a long non-coding RNA of Dioscorea cayenensis subsp. rotundata (Guinea yam), 615 nucleotides long. RefSeq lists it as uncharacterized. The transcript has 5 exons. The record is from RefSeq and is a predicted model, not a curated record. Lineage: Eukaryota; Viridiplantae; Streptophyta; Magnoliopsida; Dioscoreales; Dioscoreaceae.